UCGGACGUGGUGCACGGCGCACACCAGCUUAAUUUGUAGCCAUGCAGAACACUGUGAUGCUGGAGGACCGGGUUCGACUCCCGGCGUCUGGA
Non-coding RNA from Mycena polygramma, 92 nucleotides. Lineage: Eukaryota; Fungi; Basidiomycota; Agaricomycetes; Agaricales; Mycenaceae. The record is from the annotation of a GenBank genome assembly.